Molecule: ribosomal RNA, 497 nt
Filed under: uncultured bacterium
Lineage: Bacteria
Description: partial 16S ribosomal RNA
Rfam family: Bacterial small subunit ribosomal RNA
Source: RNAcentral
GAUGAACGCUGGCGGCGUGCCUAAUACAUGCAAGUCGAGCGAACGGACGAGAAGCUUGCUUCUCUGAUGUUAGCGGCGGACGGGUGAGUAACACGUGGAUAACCUACCUAUAAGACUGGGAUAACUUCGGGAAACCGGAGCUAAUACCGAAUGAUAUUUUGAACCGCAUGGUUCAAAAGUGAAAGACGGUCUUGCUGUCACUUAUAGAUGGAUCCGCGCUGCAUUAGCUAGUUGGUAAGGUAACGGCUUACCAAGGCAACGAUGCAUAGCCGACCUGAGAGGGUGAUCGGCCACACUGGAACUGAGACACGGUCCAGACUCCUGCGGGAGGCAGCAGUAGGGAAUCUUCCGCAAUGGGCGAAAGCCUGACGGAGCAACGCCGCGUGAGUGAUGAAGGUCUUCGGAUCGUAAAACUCUGUUAUUAGGGAAGAACAUAUGUGUAAGUAACUGUGCACAUCUUGACGGUACCUAAUCAGAAAGCCACGGCUAACUACGUG